AGAGUUUGAUCCUGGCUCAGGAUGAACGCUGGCGGCGUGCCUAAUACAUGCAAGUCGAGCGAACCACUUCGGUGGUGAGCGGCGAACGGGUGAGUAACACGUAGGUGAUCUGCCCAUCAGACGGGGACAACGAUUGGAAACGAUCGCUAAUACCGGAUAGGACGAAAGUUUAAAGGUGCUUCUGGCACCGCUGAUGGAUGAGCCUGCGGCGCAUUAGCUAGUUGGUAGGGUAAAGGCCUACCAAGGCGACGAUGCGUAGCCGACCUGAGAGGGUGAACGGCCACACUGGGACUGAGACACGGCCCAGACUCCUACGGGAGGCAGCAGUAGGGAAUCUUCGGCAAUGGGCGAAAGCCUGACCGAGCAACGCCGCGUGAAUGAUGAAGGCCUUCGGGUUGUAAAAUUCUGUUAUAAGGGAAGAACGACUUUAGUAGGAAAUGGCUAGAGUGUGACGGUACCUUAUGAGAAAGCCACGGCUAACUACGUGCCAGCAGCCGCGGUAAUACGUAGGUGGCGAGCGUUAUCCGGAAUUAUUGGGCGUAAAGAGCGCGCGGGUGGUUGAUUAAGUCUGAUGUGAAAGCCCACGGCUUAACCGUGGAGGGUCAUUGGAAACUGGUCGACUUGAGUGCAGAAGAGGGAAGUGGAAUUCCAUGUGUAGCGGUGAAAUGCGUAGAGAUAUGGAGGAACACCAGUGGCGAAGGCGGCUUCCUGGUCUGUAACUGACACUGAGGCGCGAAAGCGUGGGGAGCAAACAGGAUUAGAUACCCUGGUAGUCCACGCCGUAAACGAUGAGUGCUAAGUGUUGGGGGUCGAACCUCAGUGCUGAAGUU
Molecule: ribosomal RNA, 830 nt
Filed under: uncultured bacterium
Lineage: Bacteria
Description: bacterial SSU rRNA
Rfam family: Bacterial small subunit ribosomal RNA
Source: RNAcentral